Molecule: long non-coding RNA, 347 nt
Organism: Oryzias melastigma (Indian medaka)
Lineage: Eukaryota; Metazoa; Chordata; Actinopteri; Beloniformes; Adrianichthyidae
Exons: 2
Source: RefSeq, a predicted model, not a curated record
UGCGGCGUUCUNUGGGGCGUUCUUUAUCCGACGCGCCAUCGGCUCUGACAAACUCUAUUGGGCGGUGCUGUCUGAAUAUGUCAGAACAAUUGUCAGGAAAGGAUUUGCUCCUCUGGAGUUUUUUGUUGAAGGUUUCAGAAGUCGCACACUGAAGUCUGUUUCACCAAAGCUUGGUGAGUUUCCACCUUUGUUUUGUCUCAUAAAUGUAUGACUUCCCCGCUAUCUCCUCAUGUUUGUAUUUUUCAUGCAUUCUCAUAGUUUGUCUGCAGGUGGCAGCAUAGAGACAACACAUAGGAUUUACAGAGAACCAAAUGUGAACAUGUUCAUUUAUAAAGUAAAUCUGGUCA